GGCGUAGUGGUCAAUGCGUUCGCCUUGCACGCGGGAGACCCGGGCUCGAUUCCCGG
This 56-nucleotide transfer RNA is filed under the name Diaphorina citri (Asian citrus psyllid). It matches the Rfam family "tRNA", at positions 9 to 63 of the family's 71-position model. Rfam says of the family: Transfer RNA (tRNA) molecules are approximately 80 nucleotides in length. Their secondary structure includes four short double-helical elements and three loops (D, anti-codon, and T loops). The record is from Rfam by way of RNAcentral. Lineage: Eukaryota; Metazoa; Arthropoda; Insecta; Hemiptera; Psyllidae.